UGUAAAGAGAGAGUGAAAGGGAAAGAAAGAAGGAGAGAGAGAGAGAGAGGAGGAUGACAGCACUCUCUGGGUCAAAAACUUCUCACAACAGAUAUGGAAGGGAGGGCUCUCAUCCUGGUACUCUCAGUGCUCUGCACCCUCUCCUCCUGCCUCACUCACGAGUACCACUAUGUUAGCAACCCUAAGACUUGGACCGAAGCACAGAGAUUCUGCAGAGAGAAGUACACUGACCUGGCUACCAUAGAAAACAUGGAGGAUAUGAAGAGGCUGAUCAACACUGUAGACAGUGGUUAUAAUGGAUCAGUCUGGAUAGGGUUGGAGAAGGGAGAUAUCAUGGUGUGGCAGUGGUCUCUGGCAAACAGAGAUUACUAUGGGGAAGAAGGAACUGGGUUCAGGAAGUGGAGUGAAGGAGAGCCUGAUAAUGGUAUGGGGAGAGUUGAAGAAGAAUGCGCUGCAAUGAAUGAGAAUGGUCAAUGGCAGGACAUGCCAUUCACAUUUAAAUUGUCUGUCUACUGCUAUGAUGGUGAGAGUUACUGUUUUCAUGCUUUUCUUACUUCCAAGUUUCUUCAUAAUACUGAGUUUGUGUCUGUAUUUUAAAAAAAACUUUUUUUGAAACAUAUUUCAAGUAAAGAGGUUAAUUCCAAAACCCUAUAUAUUCAUUUUCAGAAAUGUUGUUAAAUUAGCUUUUAUAUUUUAAAGAACUUAUUAAAGAGAUUUGUGUGCUUUUUCACCACCAAAUCACAGUAUGGAUUUUGUAAUUGUAUUUGGUUUUAUUAAGGCAGCAGCUAUUCGGGUUCAGCAACAUUAAGGCAGUUAUAUACCUUUUACAGACAUGUAUUUGUUUGAAAUCUAUCACUUGAUGGUUUCUAAACACUAUAUAUCUGCCUCACUCUGAGAUAAAUAAGUAUUAGUGCUAAGUUUUACACAAAUUACUACAUUUUUUGUAAUCAAAUGUUACAUUAGUACAGGGCUAGGUUAAACUCACCCAAGGUUCUGUUCAAGUGGUCCCCAGCUGCUGACCGGGCGUUCCGGGACUUCAAGCACCGUUUCAACACAGCUCCCAUAUUGGUUCCUCCUGACCCGUCUCGUCAGUUUGUGGUGGAGGCCGAUGUCAGAGUGGGGGUUGUCCUGUCCCAGCGUUCUGCCCUGGACCUCAAGUUACAUCCCUGCACCUUCUUCUCCCAUCGCCGCAACGCCACGGAAAGGAAUUAAGAUGUGGAGAAUUGUGAGCUUCUCACGGUGAAGAUGGUGUUGGAGGAGGGGAGGCACUGAUUGGAGGGGGUGGAACAUCUGUUCAUUGUGUGGACGGACCACAAUAACCUGGAAUAUCUCUGCAUCCUUGGACUCCGAGACCAUCCUUCCCACCUCAUGCCUAGCGACGGCAUUCAGCUGGGGAAUAGAGAAGCAUGUCCGUGAGGCGCAGCGUUCCCAGCCGAACCCCGGAGGGGACCAGAUAACUGGAUGUGUGUUCCUGAUGCUGUCCGCCCCUUGGUUCUGGAGUGGGCCCACUCCUCCAGGCUUUCCUGCCACCCGGGCUCCCGUCUGACCCUGGCCUUUGUGCGACAGCACUUUUGGUGUCCUACCAUGGUCCCUGACAUCUCCGCCUUCGUCAAUCUGUGUGCACAACAAGACUCCUCGGCAAGCUCUGGCUGGUCUCCUUCAACCACUGCCUGUCCCUCACUGUCCCUGGUCACACAUAUCCCUGGACUUCAUCACGGGUCUCCCCCCGUCUGAUGGCAACUACAUCAUCCUGACAGUAGUGGACCGGUUUUCCAAAGCAGCCCAUUUCAUUCUUCUCCCCAAGCUAACCUCUGCAAAAGAGAUGGCCCAGCUCAUGGUGCAGCACGUCUUCUCGGAUCCAUGGACUUCCGGUGGACAUGGUCUCACACCGGUCCUCAGUUCUCUUCCCGGUUCUGUUAGGCGUUCUGCACACUUAUUGGAUCGUUGGCCAUCCUGUCCUCCAGUUUCCACCCUCAGUCCAACGGCCAGUCAGAGCAAGCCAAUUAAGACCUGGAGAUGACUCUUCACUGCCUUGUCUCCGCCAUCCCCACCUCCCGGAGCCAGCAACUCGUGUGGGUUGAAUAAGCCUGCAACACCCUCCCCUGCUCUGCCACUGGUCUCUCGCCCUUUGAGUGUUCCCUGGGUUAUCAGCCCGCACUCUUCUUGGAGCAAGAGGAAGAAGUCGGCAUACCUUCGGCCCAGAUGUUUGUCAGUCGCUGUCACCGUACCUGGAAGAGAGCCCGAUCGGCUCUUCUCAAGACCACCUCCAGGAAUCGAAUACAAGCGGUCUGCGACCGGACCUCUGCUCCCCGGUAUCAUCUUGGGCAGAGGGUAUGGCUGUCCACUCGAAAUCUUCCCCCCCGGGUGGAGUCCCGCAAACCUUCGCCCCGUUAUAUCGGCCCUUUCUCCAUCUCCAAAAUUAUUAGCCCCUCUGCUGUUCGUCUUCUGUUACCCUGUACCCUCCGUAUACAUCCCACUUUUCAUGUGUCUAGGAUUAAACCUGUCUCACAGUCCUUUGUCUCCCGUUUCCUGACCCUGAGCCUGCCUGCCGUUCUGUACCUUUUAUACUCUGUUCUGGAUUACUGACCUCUGCCUGCCCUUGACCUGUCGUUUCCCUGCCACCCUGAUUUUGUAAUAAACUUUUGUUACUUCGAAACUGUCUGCAACUGAGUCUUCUCCGGAGCAGUGAUAAACACAAAGAAACUGCCAGAGGCCUAUGAAUACAGCAAUAUGAGAUCUGUAUGUAAAAUAUUUACAUUUGACAUUAUGGUCCUUUAGCAGACGCACUUAUCAAGAGCGACUUACAAUUAGUCCAUUCAUCUUAAGGUCGCUUGGUGAGACAACUACAUAUCACAGUCAAAUGUACAGGAUACGAAUAUUCCAUUCCAGCUAAACAAUGGAUAUACAGAGUUUUGCAACAAAAUCCACUUUAAAAUCCAUUUUAACACACCAAAAAUCUAUGAAUAAAAAACAGUCAUAUUUUACACACAAAUGAAGGUCCCAUAAGCAAUAAUUU
This is a long non-coding RNA of Oncorhynchus keta (chum salmon), 3016 nucleotides long. RefSeq lists it as uncharacterized. The transcript has 3 exons. The record is from RefSeq and is a predicted model, not a curated record. Lineage: Eukaryota; Metazoa; Chordata; Actinopteri; Salmoniformes; Salmonidae.